This 497-nucleotide ribosomal RNA is filed under the name uncultured bacterium. RNAcentral's name for it is "partial 16S ribosomal RNA". It matches the Rfam family "Bacterial small subunit ribosomal RNA", at positions 28 to 507 of the family's 1533-position model. The record is from RNAcentral.
GACGAACGCUGGCGGCGUGCCUAAUACAUGCAGGUUGAGCGCUGAAGGUUGGUACUUGUACCAACUGGAUGAGCAGCGAACGGGUGAGUAACGCGUGGGGAAUCUGCCUUUGAGCGGGGGACAACAUUUGGAAACGAAUGCUAAUACCGCAUAAAAACUUUAAACACAAGUUUUAAGUUUGAAAGAUGCAAUUACAUCACUCAAAGAUGAUCCCGCGUUGUAUUAGCUAGUUGGUGAGGUAAAGGCUCACCAAGGCGAUGAUACAUAGCCGACCUGAGAGGGUGGUCGGCCACCUUGGGACUGAGACACGGCCCAAACUCCUACGGGAGGCAGCAGUAGGGAAUCUUCGGCAAUGGACGAAAGUCUGACCGAGCAACGCCGCGUGAGUGAAGAAGGUUUUCGGAUCGUAAAACUCUGUUGGUAGAGAAGAACGUUGGUGAGAGUGGAAAGCUCAUCAAGUGACGUUAACUACCCAGAAAGGGACGGCUAACUACGUG